Molecule: ribosomal RNA, 497 nt
Filed under: uncultured bacterium
Lineage: Bacteria
Description: partial 16S ribosomal RNA
Rfam family: Bacterial small subunit ribosomal RNA
Source: RNAcentral
GAUGAACGCUGGCGGCGUGCCUAAUACAUGCAAGUCGAGCGAACGGACGAGAAGCUUGCUUCUCUGAUGUUAGCGGCGGACGGGUGAGUAACACGUGGAUAACCUACCUAUAAGACUGGGAUAACUUCGGGAAACCGGAGCUAAUACCGGAUGAUAUUUUGAACCGCAUGGUUCAAAAGUGAAAGACGGUCUUGCUGUCACUUAUAGAUGGAUCCGCGCUGCAUUAGCUAGUUGGUAAGGUAACGGCUUACCAAGGCAACGAUGCAUAGCCGACCUGAGAGCGUGAUCGGCCACACGGGAACUGAGACACGGUCCAGACUCCUACGGGAGGCAGCAGUAGGGAAUCUUCCGCAAUGGGCGAAAGCCUGACGGAGCAACGCCGCGUGAGUGAUGAAGGUCUUCGGAUCGUAAAACUCUGUUAUUAGGGAAGAACAUAUGUGUAAGUAACUGUGCACAUCUUGACGGUACCUAAUCAGAAAGCCACGGCUAACUACGUG